This 929-nucleotide ribosomal RNA is filed under the name Escherichia coli. RNAcentral describes it as "bacterial LSU rRNA". It matches the Rfam family "Bacterial large subunit ribosomal RNA", at positions 593 to 1527 of the family's 2925-position model. The record is from RNAcentral. Lineage: Bacteria; Pseudomonadati; Pseudomonadota; Gammaproteobacteria; Enterobacterales; Enterobacteriaceae.
GUGACUGCGUACCUUUUGUAUAAUGGGUCAGCGACUUAUAUUCUGUAGCAAGGUUAACCGAAUAGGGGAGCCGAAGGGAAACCGAGUCUUAACUGGGCGUUAAGUUGCAGGGUAUAGACCCGAAACCCGGUGAUCUAGCCAUGGGCAGGUUGAAGGUUGGGUAACACUAACUGGAGGACCGAACCGACUAAUGUUGAAAAAUUAGCGGAUGACUUGUGGCUGGGGGUGAAAGGCCAAUCAAACCGGGAGAUAGCUGGUUCUCCCCGAAAGCUAUUUAGGUAGCGCCUCGUGAAUUCAUCUCCGGGGGUAGAGCACUGUUUCGGCAAGGGGGUCAUCCCGACUUACCAACCCGAUGCAAACUGCGAAUACCGGAGAAUGUUAUCACGGGAGACACACGGCGGGUGCUAACGUCCGUCGUGAAGAGGGAAACAACCCAGACCGCCAGCUAAGGUCCCAAAGUCAUGGUUAAGUGGGAAACGAUGUGGGAAGGCCCAGACAGCCAGGAUGUUGGCUUAGAAGCAGCCAUCAUUUAAAGAAAGCGUAAUAGCUCACUGGUCGAGUCGGCCUGCGCGGAAGAUGUAACGGGGCUAAACCAUGCACCGAAGCUGCGGCAGCGACACUAUGUGUUGUUGGGUAGGGGAGCGUUCUGUAAGCCUGUGAAGGUGUACUGUGAGGUAUGCUGGAGGUAUCAGAAGUGCGAAUGCUGACAUAAGUAACGAUAAAGCGGGUGAAAAGCCCGCUCGCCGGAAGACCAAGGGUUCCUGUCCAACGUUAAUCGGGGCAGGGUGAGUCGACCCCUAAGGCGAGGCCGAAAGGCGUAGUCGAUGGGAAACAGGUUAAUAUUCCUGUACUUGGUGUUACUGCGAAGGGGGGACGGAGAAGGCUAUGUUGGCCGGGCGACGGUUGUCCCGGUUUAAGCGUGUAGGCUG